This 879-nucleotide ribosomal RNA is filed under the name Cantharellus sp. BRI AQ 794191. Its description in RNAcentral is "LSU rRNA". It matches the Rfam family "Eukaryotic large subunit ribosomal RNA", at positions 76 to 965 of the family's 3401-position model. Lineage: Eukaryota; Fungi; Basidiomycota; Agaricomycetes; Cantharellales; Hydnaceae. The record is from RNAcentral.
UCCCCCAGUAACUGCGAGUGAAGAGGGAAGAGCUCAUCAUUGGAAUCUGGCAGCGUCUCGCUGUCCGAGUUGUAGAUGAGAAGAGUGGGCCAUCUGGACUGCAUGGUGUCCAAGUACAAUAGGCCGUCAGUGGGACAUCAUAGAGGGUGACAAUCCCGUCCUUGACACCGAUGUACGAGUCCUUUGCGAUGCCUAUCUCGGAGAGUCGAGCAGUUUGGGAUUUGCUGCUUAAACAUGGGAGGUAGAUUCCUUCCAAGGCUAAAUACAGGCAAGAGACCGAUAGAGAACAAGUACCGCAAGGGAAAGAUGAAAUAGAACUCUGUGAAGGGAGUCAAAAGACGUGAAAUUGUUGCGAGAGAAGCGAUUCGAGUCAGCGUAGCUGGGCCCAUCAAGCCUCGCGCUUUGGACCAGCUUUGCCAGCGGUCUUGUCCUAGAGACUCGACUAAGGUGCCCUGCCCGGUCUGACGGGCAGACCUCCCUCCUGGGGAGGCCAGCGGCACGGCUGGUGGAAUGGCUUGCAAUCGACCCGUCUUGAAACACGGACCAAGGAGUCUAACAUGCAUGCGAGUAUAAGGGUGGCAAACCCGUAUGCGCAAAGAAAGUGAUGGCCUUUAAUGGCUGUGAAUGACCUGAUGACCAGACAAGCAAUAUCAUGUUCCUCGUACGGUCAUUGCCCAAGUCCCGUGGUCAGAUCCCAUGGACAUGGAGUUGGAGCGUGCAUGCUAGGACCCGAAAGAUGGUGAACUAUGCCUGGACAAAGCGAAGCCAAAGGAAACUCUGGUGGAGGCUUGUAGCGAUUCUGACGUGCAAAUCGAUCGUCUGAUCUGGGUAUAGGGGCGAAAGACUAAUCGAACCAUCUCAUAGCUGGUUCCUGCCGAA